Molecule: long non-coding RNA, 214 nt
Filed under: Elaeis guineensis (African oil palm)
Lineage: Eukaryota; Viridiplantae; Streptophyta; Magnoliopsida; Arecales; Arecaceae
Description: long non-coding RNA (EGUI_LNC011435)
Source: RNAcentral
ACCGACUCCAUUCGACCGACCGACUUCAUCCGACCGAUCAAUUCCGCCCGACCGACGGUGGGCGACACCGACAGCGACUACCGACUGUACCCCGACCGGAGCGGAUUGGCCUAACGAGCCUACGUCGCCUCCGAUCGCCUGAGAGCCGACCCCCCGUCACUGACUUUCUAUCGGGUGAGACACCGCCGACUCACCAUCAGUUUGGAUGACUGAC